GAAUUUAGCGCAGUUGCUUGCAACGCGUGACCCCACUCUAUACACUGUGCACUCAUUGGCGGAUAGAACAGAAGAUCUCGGUCUUCUCGACUUUCUGCGGCUCACUUUAAACACCAGUCAAAGUAUGUAUACGAAAUAUCGAAAAAAGAAAAACUUUCAACAACGGAUCUCUUGGCUCU
This 179-nucleotide unclassified non-coding RNA is filed under the name rhizosphere metagenome. RNAcentral's name for it is "partial ribosomal RNA internal transcribed spacer region". The record is from RNAcentral.